RNAcentral lists this small nucleolar RNA (177 nucleotides) under Amborella trichopoda. Its description in RNAcentral is "snoRNA Plant_U3". The record is from RNAcentral. Lineage: Eukaryota; Viridiplantae; Streptophyta; Magnoliopsida; Amborellales; Amborellaceae.
CCGGCCUUACUUGAGCAGGAUCUGUUUUCCAUUGACGCAAUGGAGACGCACAACAAUCUAGAAGAUGACCUAGUGCCACGUGGCAAGAGUGUGAAUAUUGGCACUGGGCUUCACUAGCCCACGAAGAUCGCUCUCAUAACCAACGGCUGAUGAGAUGGCCAUGUCGUCUGGCAUACC